UACGUAGGGUGCGAGCGUUGUCCGGAAUUAUUGGGCGUAAAGAGCUCGUAGGCGGUUUGUCGCGUCUGCUGUGAAAGACCGGGGCUCAACUCCGGUUCUGCAGUGGGUACGGGCAGACUAGAGUGCAGUAGGGGAGACUGGAAUUCCUGGUGUAGCGGUGAAAUGCGCAGAUAUCAGGAGGAACACCGAUGGCGAAGGCAGGUCUCUGGGCUGUAACUGACGCUGGAGG
Molecule: ribosomal RNA, 229 nt
Filed under: uncultured bacterium
Lineage: Bacteria
Description: partial 16S ribosomal RNA
Rfam family: Bacterial small subunit ribosomal RNA
Source: RNAcentral